This 641-nucleotide ribosomal RNA is filed under the name Oligonema sp. RNAcentral describes it as "SSU rRNA". It matches the Rfam family "Eukaryotic small subunit ribosomal RNA", at positions 26 to 671 of the family's 1831-position model. The record is from RNAcentral. Lineage: Eukaryota; Evosea; Eumycetozoa; Trichiida; Trichiidae.
AUAUGCUUGUCCCGAAGCUUAAGCCAUGCAUGUCUCCGAUUAACUAGUAGCAUCCCCGAAUCUGCGAACGGCUCCGUAUAUCUGUUGUAAUCCCCCCACCACCCAGGCCCCGAGGCAAUAACCACGGUAAUUCUGUGGCUAAUACAUGUAACACCGGGCCGUCCCCCCUCUUCGGGUGGGCGGUCUGGACUUGCCGGCUGACCAAUGGGGGGCAACCUCCGGCGUGAGUGCUGGCAAGCGACCCUAACCGCGGCUAGCCUGUGGUGUGUGUGACGGGCUUCAGACCUAUCAACUAGAUGGCCGGGGAUAGCCCGGCCAUGGUCGCAACGGGUACAGAGGAUCAGGGUUCGGUCCUGGAGAGGUAGCCUGAGAGAUCGCUACUACUUCUAAGGAAGGCAGCAGGCGCGCAACGUUCCCAAUGGGGAUACCCUGAGGACGUGAAGGGACAUACCAAUGCCCGGCCCUUAAAGCCGGGCAAUUGGAAUGGGGGACGCUCAAACCCCACACCGAGUAACAAUUGGAGGACAAGUCUGGUGCCAGCACCCGCGGUAAUUCCAGCUCCAAUAGCAUCUAAUUAAGUUGUUGCAGUUAAAACGCUCGUAGUUGAAGUCGGUGCGCCCUGGGGCUCGCCUAGUACCGCC